AGCUAUUUUAUUUAAAAAUGAAAAUCACAAAUCCUAGCCUACCUAAUGAACCCAAUCACUCAUUCCGCCGCACCACGAAUCCUAGCUAACCCCGCUGUCUUUGAAAUCCCGUCAUCCCUUUCCACCACCAGCUGGUGGCGACACCCCAACCCACCCCAAACUGUCAUCAUACGGUCAUCACACACUCCUCUUUCACAAUCUAUCACGAGUUCGUCUUAAAUCCUCACCAGAUCUUUUUAAACUCGGAUCUAAAUUUUGUUUCCUUUUCUCCUUUUCUUAUUUCUUGGCUCAUGGUCAUUCGUCGUUACCUAGAACCUACGUCAAUAGAGUGUUCUUGACAAAGAGCAAUCAAUUGACUUUAGUUGUGGUUAUUUUGUAACUGCCAAUUUAGACCAGUCCAUCCUAUUGACAGGAUUUAUGAGGGUCGUCGGAGUUUGGUGCUUCUCUAAUUUGUUAGGAAUCUGCUAGGUAAUCUUCUACUCCUUUUAUGGUUUUUUUUUCUUUAUUCUUCUUUUUUUUAGCUCUAGAUAAUCAUGUUUUAGUUUCUGUUUGUAUUUUGUCAAUUAAAAGGUUCAAUUAUUUGUUGUUUGGGAUUUAAUUUACACUAAUCAAUUUGAUUAUUUGGAAAAGAACUGUUUGUCUAGUUUACUUGAUUAGUUGCUUUUAGGUUUUUCUUAUGAUUAAUUAACCAACUAGUUUUAGUCCAUAGUAUUUAGCUUAAUUUUGUUGUUUCUUUAGAUUGUCAACUUUGGGUCUAUUUUGAGCCUUUUGUUAUCCCUGGGUUGGGCAGUAGAAGCCAAUUGUUAUAGCUUGGGUCUUGGGUCAGUAUUGAGGAGUAACUACAUGAGUGUCAAGGGUUGUUUGGGUUAUUGGAGGAUUGGGAAAAUUUUCUGUUAUGGGAGAGGCUUCUAGAGGAAAAGGGCAGACUUGCGUGUCAAGGGAUAAGAAUGGGUUUGGAUAUUUUGAGGUGUUAAGGGGUAAAAUGAUAUGAAAAACAAGGGGUAUAAAAGGUCAAUUGAAGGCUUGACAAUCCUUCUCUAAGGUUAGCUUAUAAAAGGAUCUUUUGAUAAUUCUAUAGGGGGAUAGCAGAAAAGAAGCACAAAAAUGACUGAAGCCUUUUCUUAAAAAAUACAGAGCUUUCAGCAUUUUUUUCUACACCUAAAAACCUUAAAGCACACACUGACAGAAUUUCUGAGAGUCAAAGAUAUAUACGAAAAAAGAAAACCUGAACACGUAUCUAUUGGUUAGUUGAUGUCAUCUUUUCUAAGUAUUUGAAAGCUUGAACACCUUGCUGAUUUCUGGUUUCGAGCAUGGAUUAAGUUGCUGGUGUUGGUGCUGUUUACAAUUGUUUAAAACUCUAUUGAUCUCAUUGUUAUUUUGCUGAAAAUUUUGUAGCUUUGGUUGUAUCCAAGUAUUCUUUAGAUCAUGAGUAUAUGUGAAGUGCAAAUCUGAAACCAUGUAAUCGAGUUGGAGAUUGAAGGUUGAAUAUUAGCUGAUGUUUCUUUUAAAUCUAUCAUGUUUCCAUAUUGAAUUAGCUUUGUGGUAUGAUUUCUUAAAUUCAUUCAUGCUAUUAUUGUUUCAUAUUUCAUUUCAAGGUUGGAUUUGACUUCAGUUUAUCACAUUAGUUUUGGUUUGAUUAACUAUUUUUGCUAAGCAUAUUGCUUAGGCUUUUGAGGUAUGGAUUUGGGUUAGAUGAGGGAACAUCUCCUGGCUUUGUUUGUUUAAAUAAGUUUAGUUCAGUAGUGAGGUUCAGUCCAAGGAUGAAUUCAUGAUUUUAUUGUCUUGACUAUUUAUUUUAAGUGUCUAAAUGUGUUUAAGAGCCAUGAUUGCCAUUUCAAUAUUCCAUCUAAAUGUAUGGAGUGGUCAUACCAUAAGAACAUGUGUGAGUUCAACAAUAGCUAGUAGUAGUUUUAAUUUUCAAAAGUAUGUGACCAGCAAUUGUUGAAUAUAUAUUGCUUAAUUUUUCUGUAGUUUGAUUCUAAAUUAGAUGAUGAAUAGCUUUUAUUUGCUUU
RNAcentral lists this long non-coding RNA (2012 nucleotides) under Nicotiana benthamiana. RNAcentral's name for it is "long non-coding RNA (NBEN_LNC034685)". Lineage: Eukaryota; Viridiplantae; Streptophyta; Magnoliopsida; Solanales; Solanaceae. The record is from RNAcentral.